Molecule: ribosomal RNA, 467 nt
Filed under: uncultured bacterium
Lineage: Bacteria
Description: partial 16S ribosomal RNA
Rfam family: Bacterial small subunit ribosomal RNA
Source: RNAcentral
GACGAACGCUGGCGGCGUGCUUAACACAUGCAAGUCGAACGGAAAGGCCUCUUUCGGGGGGUACUCGAGUGGCGAACGGGUGAGUAACACGUGAGUAACCUGCCCUUGACUUUGGGAUAACUUCAGGAAACUGGGGCUAAUACCGGAUAGGAGCUCCUGCUGCAUGGUGGGGGUUGGAAAGUUUCGGCGGUUGGGGAUGGACUCGCGGCGUAUCAGCUUGUUGGUGGGGUAGUGGCUUACCAAGGCUUUGACGGGUAGCCGGCCUGAGAGGGUGACCGGCCACAUUGGGACUGAGAUACGGCCCAGACUCCUACGGGAGGCAGCAGUGGGGAAUAUUGCACAAUGGGUGGAGGCCUGAUGCAGCAACGCCGUGUGCGGGAUGACGGCCUUCGGGUUGUAAACCGCUUUCGCUCAUGACGAAGCUUUGUGUGACGGUAGUGGGUAAAGAAGCACCGGCUAACUACGUG